CCAAGUCAAUUAAAAGCUUCGACAUUAAGCAAUCUCUCAAUUGAAAGGUCUUUUCAUUUGCAUACGUUUUUCAUGGCUUUCAACAUCUUUACAACUUGUCUACAGAAGAUAUUUUUUAAGAUAACUCUAAUAUUUACAUUCCCGAUAAAUUUAUUUUAUCUUUUUUUUACUAGAUCUCUGGAACCUCGAAGAAUUUCGACAAAAAAAGAAAGGAUUCGACAAACAAUCUUUCAGAUUCUGAUGAUUCGUAUAGCAGUACUACCACCAGUAACGGCAGGCUCAAGAAGAAUAGUGACAUGAUUAAUAACAAUAGUUUCACGCCAUCAACACCGCCUCUAUCGGCCGUAAAUGGCCGAAUUGUAAAACGAAGGAAGGGAAUUCCGCAUCGUGCUCCUUUUGGAGGACUAAUCAUAGAAUACUAAUAAGAUGGUAAUGUAUAGUCUAAAUGCUAAUAACAAUCACCAGUGGUUUGUGGGGUAUGUGUGUGUGUGUGUAUACGUAGUGUGGUGUAGAGGAAUGUAUAAAGAAAAGCUUAACAUGAUAUUGUGAAAUAGUAGAUAUGAAAGGGUAAAAAAGUGGGAAAGAUAACAGGAUGAAGCAUGAAUAUGUACGGGAAAUACGUUUGCCUGUACAUUUUGGGUUGAAAGGUUAAUAUGUAAAUAAUACUGUGUGUGGAUCAAAAUAAUAGGUAAUAAAAGUAUGUGAUACAAUGCAAAUGUGAAUGAAAUAAAGGCAUUUUUAACUCUCGAGAAAGUGAACAAAAUACAGUGAAAAUGGGUGAAAACACACAUUCAAAAGAGAUAAAAAUUGUAUUCAAACUGAAAUUUGAAAUAAUUUGUAUUUAUAAUUCAAAAAUGAUUAUAUAAUUUAAAAAUUAAUAUUAUUGAAAGAAAAAAUUAUUUAGUGAUUUAAAAAUAUAUAUUAUUAUUUUCUCAUGAAAAAUGGGGGAAACAAAAGAGUUGACUACUUUGAGCUUAAAAAGUAUAAUCUCAAACAUCGACUAUUCACCGAAUAGGUAAGCUAACUCCUUUUUUUUUUAACAUCAAGCUAACUACUAUUUAUAAUUGAUAAAAAAAUAGCCGGGAAGGUCUUAGUCUAGUGGCUAGGAGAGUAUCUUAAGCACCUUGGCAUUAGGUGUUCGCCCCUCCAGGCUUCCUAAGUGAAGCUUUCCUUCUAAAGGGUUAGCACCAUUAAUGGGAGCGUCUAAAGGGUUGUUUAGGGGUGGGUCUCACCGGUAAGAGAGGAAGAAACGUUGCCAAAAACGCUAAAUUAAUCAUCUGUUCUGUUUCGUGGGUCCUGUGAUGGUGUGCUAUUGGUUCAAAUGGGUUUAUGGGUUAAAAAUGCUUUUAAAGGACUAUCGGCUCGUGUCGACAAAAAAUAAUUGAUAAAAAAUAAACGUCUUUAAUUCUUUAAUCACUGUUUGAUGGGAAUUGAGAAAAAAGAUUUUAUUAUUGGGUUGGCGAGAAAAUGGGGUGGGGGGUGGGGGGUGGGGAUGGCAAUCAUAGCAACUCCAAGAAAUUGUGAAGUUUGAAAAAAUUAGAUAAAAGCACUUGGGUUGAAUAUUCCAAGUCAAUUAAAAGCUUCGACAUUAAGCAAUCUCUCAAUUGAAAGGUCUUUUCAUUUGCAUACGUUUUUCAUGGCUUUCAACAUCUUUACAACUUGUCUACAGAAGAUAUUUUUUAAGAUAACUCUAAUAUUUACAUUCCCGAUAAAUUUAUUUUAUCUUUUUUUUACUAGAUCUCUGGAACCUCGAAGAAUUUCGACAAAAAAAGAAAGGAUUCGACAAACAAUCUUUCAGAUUCUGAUGAUUCGUAUAGCAGUACUACCACCAGUAACGGCAGGCUCAAGAAGAAUAGUGACAUGAUUAAUAACAAUAGUUUCACGCCAUCAACACCGCCUCUAUCGGCCGUAAAUGGCCGAAUUGUAAAACGAAGGAAGGGAAUUCCGCAUCGUGCUCCUUUUGGAGGACUAAUCAUAGAAUACUAAUAAGAUGGUAAUGUAUAGUCUAAAUGCUAAUAACAAUCACCAGUGGUUUGUGGGGUAUGUGUGUGUGUGUGUAUACGUAGUGUGGUGUAGAGGAAUGUAUAAAGAAAAGCUUAACAUGAUAUUGUGAAAUAGUAGAUAUGAAAGGGUAAAAAAGUGGGAAAGAUAACAGGAUGAAGCAUGAAUAUGUACGGGAAAUACGUUUGCCUGUACAUUUUGGGUUGAAAGGUUAAUAUGUAAAUAAUACUGUGUGUGGAUCAAAAUAAUAGGUAAUAAAAGUAUGUGAUACAAUGCAAAUGUGAAUGAAAUAAAGGCAUUUUUAAC
Molecule: long non-coding RNA, 2307 nt
Filed under: Brassica napus (rape)
Lineage: Eukaryota; Viridiplantae; Streptophyta; Magnoliopsida; Brassicales; Brassicaceae
Description: long non-coding RNA (BNAP_LNC024156)
Source: RNAcentral